This 462-nucleotide ribosomal RNA is filed under the name uncultured bacterium. RNAcentral describes it as "bacterial SSU rRNA". It matches the Rfam family "Bacterial small subunit ribosomal RNA", at positions 30 to 483 of the family's 1533-position model. The record is from RNAcentral.
AUUGAACGCUGGCGGCAUGCCUUACACAUGCAAGUCGAACGGCAGCACGGGAGCAAUCCUGGUGGCGAGUGGCGAACGGGUGAGUAAUAUAUCGGAACGUGCCCGGUCGUGGGGAUAACGUAGCGAAAGCUACGCUAAUACCGCAUACGAUCUACGGAUGAAAGCGGGGGAUCGCAAGACCUCGCGCGAUUGGAGCGGCCGAUAUCAGAUUAGGUAGUUGGUGAGGUAAAGGCUCACCAAGCCGACGAUCUGUAGCUGGUCUGAGAGGACGACCAGCCACACUGGGACUGAGACACGGCCCAGACUCCUACGGGAGGCAGCAGUGGGGAAUUUUGGACAAUGGGCGCAAGCCUGAUCCAGCAAUGCCGCGUGCAGGAUGAAGGCCUUCGGUUGGUAAACUGCUUUGUUACGGAACGAAACGGUAGAGCUCUAAUACAGUUGUCUAAUUAGACGGUACCGUAA